CCUACGGGUGGCUGCAGUGAGGAAUAUUGGUCAAUGGACGAGAGUCUGAACCAGCCAAGUAGCGUGAAGGAUGACUGCCCUAUGGGUUGUAAACUUCUUUUAUAUGGGAAUAAAACGUUCCACGUGUGGGAUUUUGUAUGUACCAUAUGAAUAAGGAUCGGCUAACUCCGUGCCAGCAGCCGCGGUAAUACGGAGGAUCCGAGCGUUAUCCGGAUUUAUUGGGUUUAAAGGGAGCGUAGGUGGGUUGUUAAGUCAGUUGUGAAAGUUUGCGGCCAAACCGUAAAAUUGCAGUUGAAACUGGCAGUCUUGAGUAAAGUAGAGGUGGGCGGAAUUCGUGGGGUAGCGGUGAAAUGCUUAGAUAUCACGAAGAACUCCGAUUGCGAAGGCAGUUCACUGGACUGCAACUGACACUGAGGCUCGAAAGUGUGGGUAUCAAACAGGAUUAGAUACCCGAGUAGUC
This 460-nucleotide ribosomal RNA is filed under the name uncultured bacterium. RNAcentral describes it as "partial 16S ribosomal RNA". It matches the Rfam family "Bacterial small subunit ribosomal RNA", at positions 338 to 795 of the family's 1533-position model. The record is from RNAcentral.